UACGUAGGUGGCAAGCGUUAUCCGGAAUUAUUGGGCGUAAAGAGCGCGCAGGUGGUUGAUUAAGUCUGAUGUGAAAGCCCACGGCUUAACCGUGGAGGGUCAUUGGAAACUGGUCGACUUGAGUGCAGAAGAGGGAAGUGGAAUUCCAUGUGUAGCGGUGAAAUGCGUAGAUAUAUGGAGGAACACCAGUGGCGAAGGCGACUUUCUGGUCUAUUAUUGACGCUGAGGCUCGAAAGCAUGGGUAGCAAACAGGAUUAGA
Molecule: ribosomal RNA, 259 nt
Filed under: uncultured prokaryote
Description: partial 16S ribosomal RNA
Rfam family: Bacterial small subunit ribosomal RNA
Source: RNAcentral